RNA transcript from Dunckerocampus dactyliophorus (ringed pipefish), 4381 nucleotides. It is a transcript of the gene named QKI, KH domain containing, RNA binding 2, with no coding region annotated. NCBI's taxonomy places the organism in Eukaryota, Metazoa, Chordata, Actinopteri, Syngnathiformes, Syngnathidae. The record is from RefSeq and is a predicted model, not a curated record. The transcript is spliced from 8 exons.
CAGAGCCCCACUCGUGCUCAGCCGCACUACAGUAAUCAUAUGAUAGCAGCCCGUCCACCUCUCCACCGGACCAACUUCUUCAUUCUCCACUUGUAGGAGGCAACACGAUCACAGCUGCAACGACUAAGAAAUAAGCACUAAAAAGGAACUUUUUGCGAAAGUUUAUUCGCAUAGGGGACGAGGAGGGGCUCGCAUCAUUCCGAACUGGACUGAGAUUCCGAGCCGCUUGAGAGACCACUCGGCUCGGCGGACGACUUUCCCCAACAAGUUUUUUGGGUUGUUUGUUUUUUUGUUUUAAAUUCCAUUAGGGCGCUUUGUGUGCGUGUGUGCGUGCCUGCGUGUGCGUGCGUGUGUGUGUGCGUGUGUGUGUGGACACUCCACAGUCAUGGUCGGGGAGACAGAGGUGAAGGAGAGACCCAAGUCCAACCCGGACUACUUAAUGCAGCUGAUGAACGACCGGAAGGUGAUGAGUUCACUGCCCAACUUCAGCGGCAUCUUCACGCAUCUGGAGCGGCUGCUGGAUGAAGAGAUCGGGCGGGUACGCAAGGACAUGUACAACGACACGGUGAAUGGCGGCAUGUUCAACGGGCGCGACAUGGAGGAGCUGCCUGAGGCCGUCGGUCCCGUGGCUCAGCUGCAGGAGAAGCUCUAUGUGCCCGUCAAAGAGUACCCUGAUUUUAACUUUGUCGGGAGGAUCCUUGGCCCGCGAGGACUGACGGCCAAACAACUGGAGGCAGAGACGGGCUGCAAGAUCAUGGUGCGAGGGAAAGGAUCCAUGCGGGACAAGAAGAAGGAAGAGAUGAACCGAGGCAAGCCCAACUGGGAGCACCUGAGUGAGGACCUCCACGUCCUGAUCACUGUGGAGGACACACACAACCGGGCGAAGAUCAAGCUGCAGCGGGCCAUCAACGAGGUCAAGAAGCUCCUCGUCCCCGCCGCUGAAGGCGAGGACAACUUGAAGAAAAUGCAGCUGAUGGAGUUGGCCAUCCUCAAUGGAACCUACAGAGACGCCAAUGUCAAGACACCCACCGCUGGCUUUCCACUGGCCACCCCCCAGGCCCCUCGCAUCAUCACCGGACCGACGCCCGUCCUGCCACCCACCUUACGCAACCCAGCUCCUGUGACCACGCCCACCAUCAUGCCCCUGAUUCGCCAGAUCCAGAGCUCCGCCCUGGUGCCCGGCGCCAACCCACACCCGGCUCUGGUGCAGCAAGGACCCGAGUCGGGGAUCAUCUACACACCCUACGAGUAUCCCUACACACUCACGCCCUCCAUAUUGGAAUACCCCAUCGACUCGACUGGAGUAUUAGGUAUGGCUUUCCCAACCAAAGGCUAAGCGAUUAGCUAUCCAUCUUAGCACACAAGGACUGGCUUGCAGAGACACCCCCUCCCCAACACCCACCCCCACUCCCAUCACCCCAUCCUUUCUGUAUACUGGGCAAAACGCUCAAAGCUCGCUCACACUUUAGGACGACAGAUUAUUUGCGCUCGAGUCGAGUGUCCGUGGCUUCCGUUUGGUUUUCCAACGUAUUAGCAGACUAGCGUGGUGGUGUGACGCCUUCAUUAACCCUUUUCUUUAUUUGAAAUGUGAGAUAGUUCUGCUUGGAAUUUUAACACGUUUUUUAGCCAACCUGUAGAUGUUUGUGCUUGAAUAUAUGUUACAAGUUUUGAUUCCAGUGCCUCAGAGUGAUUUUGCUAAGCUACCAGUGAUGCUUUUGUUACAUGAACGUAGCGCUUUAGAUAGAUCUGUCCUCUACAGAACACAAGACGGCAACACAAGAUUCUGUCCUCUUUGGAAGCACUGAUGUUUGACUUUAACUUUCACCCCCCACCCCCAAGCCAGCCUUAAGACGCCGCAGCCACAGUUUUGUGCACGUUUGCUCCUGGCCUCAGGCGCGUUGGCGCCAGUGGCUCUGGACUGUGUGAUGUCUUUCUGAUGAGUAACCUUCUGUGUUCUGUUUUGGCAACGUCAUCGCACUGUUAGCAGGUGCCAUGACCACUAAGGUACGCCGCCACGACAAGAGAAUCCAUCCUUACCAAAGGGUAGUGACCACAGACAGAGCUGCCACGGCAACUAACCCAUGACCCCCUGACCUUCUGACCUUUCCACCCACUGAUGACCCCACCCAUCUCCGCCCUGCUGGCACGCUCAUUGGCCAAGUGCCCCGUCGCUCUCCUCCCCUCCUUGCCCACCGGCUCAGCCAACCCAAGGCCGGCGCCGAGAGCGACGCAACUGCUUCUGCCUAACCAGCGGACGGCAGCUACGGCGGCCAUAACCCGGCGGGGACCGCACCCAUCGACAAGCCCCGACCUUUAGCCAACGUGCCUUCCUCUCACAUUGUACUUGCAGCAGGGAGGGGGGCUGUCCCUCCCGAGUCCAUCAGCAAUAAUUACUACUAAAGACUACUCAUCCUGCGCACAAGACAGGUGUGCAAUUCAAAUCUUCAAAUCAACAAUCUCAGCGUGUAUUCACAGAUUAUAUUAACCAUGUGGCCUCUUUUUCAUGCAGCUCAAUCGGGGGUGUCCACAGUGUGGCCUAUGGGCCAUUUUCAACCCGCAUAUUUUAAAGAUAAAAUGAAUUAAUGAGAUAUACAGUAUUAUUAGUCGUGCUGUCAAAUAAUUACAAUGUUUAUUAUAUAAUAUAUAUAUAUAUAUAUAUAUGAUAUAUAUGUAUAUAUAAUAUAUAUAUAUAUUAAUCACAUGGUUGCUGUAGAUUAAUUUUGAUGAAUCAAGAUGAAAUAUCUUUCAUUUGAAAUCUAUUUUCAUCGUGUUUCAUGUUGCAUGAGCAAACAUUUUAGGGAUUUGGAGUCAUUCUCUGAUGGCUUAAUUGUGUUAAAAGUUUUAGUCUGAUUAAUAAUGACUAUGGAUUAAUUUGCAUUAACUUUGCAUCAAUUUUGACAGCUGAGAUUAUUAAAUGUUACCUUCAUUUGUCACCAAGAACACAAAACUAAGAUGAGAUAGAUGAGCAUUUUGUCACCUUGGGUUGGUUUUUGCAUCUCUGAUGCAUCCUUCAGUUUUUCCACAUGUGGUCUUUGAUGGGAAAGGUUUGGACACCCCUGAACUGAAACGUAUUGGAAUCAAUGCAAACAGAGAGAGGCGGAAUGUUUAAGAAUAUCACAGGUGGUCCUCGCUAUAAACGUUUUGGGGUUAUGAACACGCUGUCAUAAAACCUCAUUUUGGUCCAAAACACGAUCCUGGCUGGAGGAUCGUGGCUGACCAGUUCCCUAUGAAGAUUAUGCAAAGUGCAGCUGAAGCACAGCUACACAGCUCUCAACACUCGACUGUCGCCAAAACAAAACAGACUACUGUUGGCCAAACCACGCCAAAAGAACAUCAACAAACUCAACUGUACUCUCUGCACGCAUGCAUCGUACCCUUGAGCAUGUUGACUUACAACGUGGAAUAGAACUUCCUGAGGACCACCUGUAAAAGUGCCCCGCUGGGCUACUUUGUGAUGUCACCAUUCCGCAGCCUUCCAAGGACCGGGAAUCAUCAUCAAAGAGUGCCUUAUUUGUGCUAGCGUGGAGCGUAAAGUAGAAUUCCAAAGUAGAUCUUCUCUCUUAUCGGAAAAAAAAAGGCAAAUGCCAGUGCUUGUUUAAAGCGCACACAUAUGGGAGGCUUGCACUUACAAAACAACCAGCGUGAAGAAAAAGUGCCUUUUUUUUCCCACUAUUAAAUUGUGCAGAUGAACUGCAGACUGUUUACUUCUUUAGCGCCUCAGUGGACUGCAAGUGCCAACCCAGUAUUGAUACCGCAGGCCGCACUGAUCCAUAAUGUCUCUUUUAUUGAUGUGUGAGGGUGGAACAGUUAUUUUGUGUGUGUUUGUUUGUUGUAACUUGCAUUGUGUAUCCCACAUGCAACACCAGCCCGCCAGAGGCCUUAAAAACAAAUCAUGGAGUAGUAACACCUGUAACCAGUUCAUAAUGUAUUUUGAUAUUCUAUUUUGUACAUGAAAAUAACAUUAAAUGACUUUUCACAUAUGCUGCCUUACCAUGGGAUAUAUAUACUGUGUAUGUGUAUAUAUAUAUAUAUAUAUAUAUAUAUAUAUAUAUAUAUAUAUACACAUACAUCUAAAUAACAGUGUGUCCUGGAAUACUGGAGAUGUUUUCUGUGUGAACUGGAACCUGCGGAGAUGAGCGCUCAUUGCCUCCUGUGCUUUUCUUUUGUACACCAGUGUGACAGUUAACAAUGUAGUUCCACAUUAAUCAACAGCCAAGGUAGACGAUACUAAAUCUGUGCUUUAACCACUUUAAUUGUAUGUGUCUCUGCUGUGGGUUUUCUUUGACGGUACACAUAAAAGUUAGCGUUGGAAUGAUGAUGAAGCAGGAAUAACUUUGUACUGCAAAAGGCACACGAUUAAACUCAAUAGUUGUAAAACUAA